Molecule: ribosomal RNA, 933 nt
Filed under: Pseudosplanchnonema phorcioides
Lineage: Eukaryota; Fungi; Ascomycota; Dothideomycetes; Pleosporales; Massarinaceae
Description: SSU rRNA
Rfam family: Eukaryotic small subunit ribosomal RNA
Source: RNAcentral
CUGUGGUAAUUCUAGAGCUAAUACAUGCUAAAACCUCGACUUCGGGAGGGGUGUAUUUAUUAGAUAAAAAACCCAUGCCCUUCGGGGCUCCUUGGUGAUUCACAAUAACUUCUCAGAUCGCAUGGCCUUGCGCCGGCGACGGUUCAUUCAAAUUUCUGCCCUAUCAACUUUCGAUGGUAAGGUAUUGGCUUACCAUGGUUUCUACGGGUAACGGGGAAUUAGGGUUCGAUUCCGGAGAGUUAGCCUGAGAAACGGCUAACACAUCCAAGGAAGGCAGCAGGCGCGCAAAUUACCCAAUCCUGAUACAGGGAGGUAGUGACAAUAAAUACUGAUACAGGGCUCUUUUGGGUCUUGUAAUUGGAAUGAGUACAAUUUAAACCUCUUAACGAGGAACAAUUGGAGGGCAAGUCUGGUGCCAGCAGCCGCGGUAAUUCCAGCUCCAAUAGCGUAUAUUAAAGUUGUUGCAGUUAAAAAGCUCGUAGUUGAACCUUUGGCCUGGCUGGCAGGUCCGCCUCACCGCGUGCACUUGUCCGGCCGGGCCUUUUCUUCUGGAGAACCGCAUGCCCUUCACUGGGUGUGUUGGGGACCAGGACUUUUACUUUGAAAAAAUUAGAGUGUUCAAAGCAGGCCUUUGCUCGAAUAUUACAGCAUGGAAUAAUGGAAUAGGACGUGCGGUUCUAUUUUGUUGGUUUCUAGGACCGCCGUAAUGAUUAAUAGGGACAGUCGGGGGCAUCAGUAUUCAAUUGUCAGAGGUGAAAUUCUUGGAUUUAUUGAAGACUAACUACUGCGAAAGCAUUUGCCAAGGAUGUUUUCAUUAAUCAGUGAACGAAAGUUAGGGGAUCGAAGACGAUCAGAUACCGUCGUAGUCUUAACCAUAAACUAUGCCGACUAGGGAUCGGGCGGUGUUAUUAUUUUGACUCGCUCGGCACCUUA